Molecule: long non-coding RNA, 555 nt
Organism: Alnus glutinosa
Lineage: Eukaryota; Viridiplantae; Streptophyta; Magnoliopsida; Fagales; Betulaceae
Exons: 2
Source: RefSeq, a predicted model, not a curated record
GACCAUGCACCACUCUCAGUGACGAACUUCUUGUUGAUGACGACGAAGAACGCGUUUCGCUGAGGCCGUCCAAGGGACCGACACGGUGGAAGGGCCUUCUGGGUCUGAAGAAAAUCCACAUUGGGUCCAAGAAAGCUGACAAGGGCGAAUCCUCUGUUGAUAGUAAAAGGUCUGAUUUCGUUCGUGAGGAGGCCCAUGUUAGCAAAGACAUCGCCGGUUACUCGUGCACCAGAAGCGUCUUAAACCCAUGAUCUCACACUCCACCCAACUCUUAGGAGAGGAAAAAAUGCUGAAUUUUUUGAUGCGGAAGUUUCAGCAAGUUAUAUGUUUGUGGGCUAGUAUAGUUGGUAUGCUCUACUCGUCUCUGUUGGUUACCAAUUACCAUGCACUUAAUAAUGCUGUGGUCUUGAGAGAUUCAUAUGUACUUAUGUAGUGCUUGGAAGAGCAUGUUAAUGAAAACUCCAGUCUGUUUGAUGAUGUCGUCCAAUAUAUGUCUGAUUGUUGAACCAAGUAGUGAGUUAAAAUUAAAGAUAAUGAUAAUUGUGAGGAACAAAA